Molecule: long non-coding RNA, 222 nt
Filed under: Phoenix dactylifera (date palm)
Lineage: Eukaryota; Viridiplantae; Streptophyta; Magnoliopsida; Arecales; Arecaceae
Description: long non-coding RNA (PDAC_LNC012572)
Source: RNAcentral
ACUACGAGUCGACUCCGACUGAGAACUGACAGAAAUACAGAAAGUUGAUUUUCAGACCCUGUCAGCGAGUCGACUCCAGAAGGGUUCGAGUCGACUCCGAUGGUUGCCGAGUCGACUCCCGACGUUUCCGAGUCGACUCCAAAGGGUAACAGAAGAAAGACAGAACAAUGUAUUUCAGACCCUGCAGCCGAGUCGACUCCAGAAGGUUACGAGUCGACUCCG